GACGAACGCUGGCGGCGUGCUUAACACAUGCAAGUCGAACGGUAAGGCUCCAGCUUGCUGGGGUACACGAGUGGCGAACGGGUGAGUAACACGUGGGUGACCUGCCCUGCACUUCGGGAUAAGCCUGGGAAACUGGGUCUAAUACCGGAUAGGACCAUGGUGUGGAUACUGUGGUGGAAAGUUUUUUCGGUGUGGGAUGGGCCCGCGGCCUAUCAGCUUGUUGGUGGGGUAAUGGCCUACCAAGGCGGCGACGGGUAGCCGGCCUGAGAGGGUGGACGGCCACAUUGGGACUGAGACACGGCCCAGACUCCUACGGGAGGCAGCAGUGGGGAAUAUUGCACAAUGGGCGGAAGCCUGAUGCAGCGACGCCGCGUGGGGGAUGACGGCCUUCGGGUUGUAAACUCCUUUCACCAUCAACGAAGGGUUUCUGACGGUAGAUGGAGAAGAAGCACCGGCUAACUACGUG
Molecule: ribosomal RNA, 466 nt
Filed under: uncultured bacterium
Lineage: Bacteria
Description: partial 16S ribosomal RNA
Rfam family: Bacterial small subunit ribosomal RNA
Source: RNAcentral